This 252-nucleotide ribosomal RNA is filed under the name uncultured bacterium. Its description in RNAcentral is "partial 16S ribosomal RNA". It matches the Rfam family "Bacterial small subunit ribosomal RNA", at positions 524 to 776 of the family's 1533-position model. The record is from RNAcentral.
UACAGAGGCCACGAGCGUUAGGCGGAAUCACUGGGCUUAAAGCGUGUGUAGGUGGAUGGGUAAGUACCUUGUGAAAUCCCACGGCUCAACCGUGGAACUGCUUGGUAUACUGCUGUCUUGAGGCACUCAGGGGCGAGCGGAACAGAUGGUGGAGCGGUGAAAUGCGUAGAUAUUGGGAGGAACACCAGUGGCGAAGGCGGCUCACUGGACCGGUACUGACGCUGAGGCGCGAAAGCGUGGGGAGCAAACGGG